RNAcentral lists this ribosomal RNA (239 nucleotides) under uncultured bacterium. Its description in RNAcentral is "partial 16S ribosomal RNA". It matches the Rfam family "Bacterial small subunit ribosomal RNA", at positions 270 to 509 of the family's 1533-position model. The record is from RNAcentral.
AAGAAAAUGACGGUACCUGACUAAGAAGCCCCGGCUAACUACGUGCCAGCAGCCGCGGUAAUACAUAUAUGCAGCAGUAGGGAAUUUCGUCAAUGGGCGCAAGCCUGAACGAGCAAUGCCGCGUGAACGAGGAAGGUCUUCGGAUCGUAAAGUUCUGUUGAAAGGGGAAAAAGAGCGGAGAGAGGAAAUGCUUUCNGAUUGAUAUUACCCUUCGAGGAAGUCACGGCUAACUACGUGCC